This 469-nucleotide ribosomal RNA is filed under the name uncultured bacterium. Its description in RNAcentral is "partial 16S ribosomal RNA". It matches the Rfam family "Bacterial small subunit ribosomal RNA", at positions 28 to 507 of the family's 1533-position model. The record is from RNAcentral.
GACGAACGCUGGCGGCGUGCUUAACACAUGCAAGUCGAACGAUGAAGCCUUAGCUUGCUUUGGUGGAUUAGUGGCGAACGGGUGAGUAACACGUGAGCAACGUGCCCAGGACUCUGGAAUAACCGCGGGAAACCGAGGCUAAUACCGGAUAGGUGACGAGGUCGCAUGGUCUUCGGGUGGAAAUUUUUUGCGGUUCUGGAUCGGCUCACGGCCUAUCAGUUUGUUGGUGGGGUAAUGGCCUACCAAGGCGACGACGGGUAGUCGGCCUGAGAGGGUGAACGGCCACACUGGGACUGAGACACGGCCCAGACGCCUACGGGAGGCAGCAGUGGGGAAUAUUGCACAAUGGGCGCAAGCCUGAUGCAGAAACGCCGCGUGGGGGAUGACGGCCUUCGGGUUGUAAACCUCAUUUAGUAGGGAAGAAGCGCAAGUGACGGUACCUGCAGAAAAAGCACCGGCUAACUACGUG